RNAcentral lists this long non-coding RNA (1864 nucleotides) under Amphibalanus amphitrite. RNAcentral describes it as "uncharacterized LOC122381450, transcript variant X2". Lineage: Eukaryota; Metazoa; Arthropoda; Thecostraca; Balanomorpha; Balanidae. The record is from RNAcentral.
GUUAGUUAUUUGAUACUUUUCAGUUUUCUGUCUGGCAUUUCUGAGUUUUUUUUCUGAUUAUUACCAGCAAGUAGUUAAUAAGAAUUAUCAUAUACUUUUGUAAAUGUAGAAAUAUUAGUAUGUAUUCCAAUACCAAACAAAAUUGCAUGUUUGUUUGUUUUAAGUGUGGUCAAUUGUCUAAAGCCUAGACGGACAAAGGAAGCUGCAAUUGCUUCUGUAACUCAUUGUCCCACCGACCAGCUGUGGUAACGCCAGUCGCCAACAGCUACAGCGCUUUUCCAGGAGGCUUCAGUUAUUCUGUGACUGGUGACCAAGGCAUGACACAUCACCCAGCAACUCACAAUCUCGCUGGCGGAGAGUGUUGCUGAGCAGCUGACCAACUGCGGCUGCUGGAGCGUUUCUCAGUCGUCGACCUCCGUAGACUGUCGAGCCCUUGGUCGAGCCUCCCUGGCCUUCUGCGACUCAAGAAGGAGGGAUUUUUAUCUGUGUUUACCAUACAAGAGACAUUUUAAUCUGACGAUUCGAUCGGAUCUGGAUCAUGAAUCCCGAGGCGGUGUGACAGAUGGUCGAGGCCGGCGCGCCACGCCAGACGCCUUCUCGCGCGGGGCGUGCUCAGGUCAGUCAGGUUGCGCUGCCGGACUCUUCUCCGAGGAGAGAAGCACAUAAGCGCAGUCAGGACGCGAGUGUGGUUGCACCGCCCCGGUCCCAGCAACCGCAUGGCGGUGGGGACUCACAGCCCCGCUGAUGGUUCCAGAUCGUCUCAGCGCAGCUUCUUCUCUGGACCCCGGCGCGGCAGCGAGGCUGGUGGUUCGGAGCCGACUGAUGGAGGACAGCAAAAGAACAGCAGGACAGGACAGCACCCUAACAGUAGCCUUCGGUCAUGUGGCGAGAGCUGGGCCCCGGACCAGUCGAAAGGGUGCUCACUGCUCAGCUGAGUUGGUAAAGUCCGCGUCUCGUUAGUGUCCCCGGCCAGGUCCUGAACGGUAGAUGAGGGCGGGAUAUUCUCCUUUAUAGACGCAGAGCAAUGCCAGAAGAAUGGUUUUGCGAUCGAGUUGCAUGCGCUGUCCCUGCCUGUCGCUCCUGCUGCCGCCGGCGGGGUUGGCGCUAAUGGCCAUUGACAAGGCUGCUGUGUUUGUAAAUUAGGUUGGAUGGACCCCUGCUCUCAGAGUUUUGUGUUGGUCGCUGGUAACCCAUGUUUUGUGGCCAGCGUGUUACGAACCCACGUAGCGGUUUGACCCCGUGGGGUGCUGUGAGACAGCGCGGAGCGACGCGAGGAUGCUGCUGAAACACGCUGAUGUUUGUGUGUACCUAUCGUCAUUUUGAAGUGCUGCUUGAGUUUGCUCGUUUGUUCUGUCUUACUGUUUUGUGUUUUCUACCAAGAUAAUGUCGAUAAGAUUGUUCAAUAAAGUUUGAGUUCAGACUUCCGGACCGGGAAAGACUGAGACGUCUGAACCGGGGCCGGCAAAGGCGUCUAAACCGGGACCGAUUGAGGCAGCUGGACUGGGACCAACGAAUGGCUGCCAGUUCUGGACCGAAAGUGGCCGGGCUGCAUCCGAUGCGCCACCACAUACCGUAUCACUGGCAGCCAUAUGCGUUCCUGUCGCAGGCCACCGUUCACGCUUCAGUUUCGGCGCUGGUGCCCCGGCCGGGUAUAUGCUCUGCUCGGUAUACCUAACUGUUGUGAGCAAAACCUCGUAAUCGUACGUCUAAUGCUAUAGUUGUUGUUCAAAUCCGCGUAAAUUAUGACAUUCUGGCAACUAUGCCGACCCAUAACCAAGCAUAGGUCAAUGUUGGCUCAGUCGGCUACGGUCGAAGUUAUGGUGUUUUUCCAGCCGAUAAUGCAUCAAUAUAAACUCCUUCCACA